This 588-nucleotide ribosomal RNA is filed under the name uncultured bacterium. RNAcentral describes it as "bacterial SSU rRNA". It matches the Rfam family "Bacterial small subunit ribosomal RNA", at positions 337 to 917 of the family's 1533-position model. The record is from RNAcentral.
UCCUACGGGAGGCAGCAGUAGGGAAUCUUCCGCAAUGGACGAAAGUCUGACGGAGCAACGCCGCGUGAGUGAUGAAGGCCUUCGGGUUGUAAAGCACUUUCAGUAGGGAGGAAGGUAGUGUAGUUAACACCUGCACUAUUUGACGUUACCUACAGAAGAAGCACCGGCUAACUCCGUGCCAGCAGCCGCGGUAAUACGGAGGGUGCGAGCGUUAAUCGGAAUUACUGGGCGUAAAGCGCAUGCAGGCGGCCUGUUAAGUCAGAUGUGAAAGCCCGGGGCUUAACCUCGGAAUUGCAUUUGAAACUGGCAGGCUAGAGUCUUGUAGAGGGGGGUAGAAUUUCAGGUGUAGCGGUGAAAUGCGUAGAGAUCUGAAGGAAUACCAGUGGCGAAGGCGGCCCCCUGGACAAAGACUGACGCUCAGAUGCGAAAGCGUGGGGAGCAAACAGGAUUAGAUACCCUGGUAGUCCACGCCGUAAACGAUGUCUACUUGGAGGUUGUGGCCUUGAGCCGUGGCUUUCGGAGCUAACGCGUUAAGUAGACCGCCUGGGGAGUACGGUCGCAAGAUUAAAACUCAAAUGAAUUGACGGA